CUACGGGACGCAGCAGUGGGGAAUAUUGGACAAUGGGGGAAACCCUGAUCCAGCAAUGCCGCGUGUGUGAAGAAGGCCUGCGGGUUGUAAAGCACUUUCGGUUGGGAGGACUGCUUCUAGCACUAAUAUUGUUGGAAGUUGACGUUACCUUCAGAAGAAGCACCGGCUAACUCCGUGCCAGCAGCCGCGGUAAUACGGAGGGUGCAAGCGUUAAUCGGAAUUACUGGGCGUAAAGCGCGCGUAGGCGGCUAGAUCAGUCGGGUGUGAAAGCCCCGGGCUUAACCUGGGAACUGCAUCCGAUACUGUCUAGCUUGAGUACAGGAGAGGAGAGUGGAAUUCCACAUGUAGCGGUGAAAUGCGUAGAUAUGUGGAGGAACACCAAUGGCGAAGGCAGCUCUCUGGCCUGACACUGACGCUGAGGUGCGAAAGCGUGGGGAGCAAACGGGAUUAGAUACCCCUGUAGUC
Molecule: ribosomal RNA, 465 nt
Filed under: uncultured bacterium
Lineage: Bacteria
Description: partial 16S ribosomal RNA
Rfam family: Bacterial small subunit ribosomal RNA
Source: RNAcentral